CCUACGGCGCUCAGCAGUGGGGAAUAUUGGACAAUGGGCGAAAGCCUGAUCCAGCCAUGCCGCGUGUGUGAAGAAGGCCUUCGGGUUGUAAAGCACUUUCAGUGGGGAAGAAAGCCUUGGGGCUAAUACCCUCGAGGAAGGACAUCACCCACAGAAGAAGCACCGGCUAACUCCGUGCCAGCAGCCGCGGUAAUACGGAGGGGUGCGAGCGUUAAUCGGAAUUACUGGGCGUAAAGCGCGCGUAGGCGGUCUGAUAAGCCGGUUGUGAAAGCCCCGGGCUCAACCUGGGAACGGCAUCCGGAACUGUCAGGCUAGAGUGCAGGAGAGGAAGGUAGAAUUCCCGGUGUAGCGGUGAAAUGCGUAGAGAUCGGGAGGAAUACCAGUGGCGAAGGCGGCCUUCUGGACUGACACUGACGCUGAGGUGCGAAAGCGUGGGUAGCAAACAGGAUUAGAUACCCGAGUAGUC
RNAcentral lists this ribosomal RNA (466 nucleotides) under Vreelandella stevensii. RNAcentral's name for it is "partial 16S ribosomal RNA". It matches the Rfam family "Bacterial small subunit ribosomal RNA", at positions 338 to 795 of the family's 1533-position model. The record is from RNAcentral. Lineage: Bacteria; Pseudomonadati; Pseudomonadota; Gammaproteobacteria; Oceanospirillales; Halomonadaceae.